Molecule: unclassified non-coding RNA, 1755 nt
Filed under: Leishmania donovani
Lineage: Eukaryota; Euglenozoa; Kinetoplastea; Trypanosomatida; Trypanosomatidae
Description: gene:unknown
Source: RNAcentral
GCCUGCUGAUGCUUCGGCCCGCUUCAAAACCAGCUUGUCUUUUUUGCUGGCGGUGGGCGAAAAAAAAAAGCCCCGGGCGGCCGGGGAACUCUUAAGGAGGGGGGUGGGCUUGGCGCGUUCUUGUUCGGCAAAGUGGUCUUGGUCUGGGGGAAGCGGUUUCAUGGAAGGCAAAAGCCCCACGGCCCAAUGGUGCAACCCCAGUGGCCCUGCUUGGCGGCUUCUUUCUUUGCACGGGGGUUUUCGGUGUUUGCCUAACGCGUGUCCCUGUUUGUCUUUUUGCUGUUGCAAUCGUCCCCGAUUUGGCUGCAGUGCGUUCUGGGGCUGUCGGUGGUUCGCCCGUGGGUGGAAUGGCGGAUGGCGGAGGAUGCGCAACAGUGGUUCCAGGGAAUUUAAAGAAGGGGUAAGACUGUAAAAUAAAAAGUGUCCUUUCAUGCCUUUAAAAGGCGCUGGUGCGGGGGUGCGCUUGUGCGGCAUGUGCCGCCGUGGUUUCUUGAAUUAUACAUGGGGGAUGACCUCUUUUUUUGAUUUGAGGGUCAACCGCGGUGUGCGCGCAGUGCGUUUGUGCGCGGCCUUCUUUUUUCUCCGGAAACAAGAACGCUGCGUGGGGUUGGGUUUUUUUCCUGCGGCCGCGGGCGCCGGGGGCGGGGCGCUCGGGUGUUCCCUCUGGAUACUCUUUCGAUUUAAUGAGCCCAUGCUUUCCGUAAGGGCUGGGUGGGCCGCUGGGUCUUCGCGGGGCUUUGCGAUUGUGUUUGUGGGUAUUGGCUUGCAAAAUGGUGGUGGCUUGGGCGGGUCAGGGGGAAUAGCUGAAUUUCUGCGAAGGCUGAAUCCAGGCACGCGCUCGUUCACGCGCGUUCUGGCAGUUUUGCUCCCAGCUUUGUGUCCAGGAAGGUGGGGCGCUUUUGUUUUUGGGCAAUACUCUAAUUUCGUUUUCGGCUUGGUUGGUGGAAGAGUGUCGAAUGUGCUACACAUCUAAGUGCUUCGAAAGAAAAGUGCCGUGAGCUGCAUCUCUCUCUGUGGUCAUGCUGGUUGCGCUUUUUCACUGUGCUGGUGACGGCAUUGGGACUGGGCCAUGCUGGGGCUUUGGGGUUGCCAAUGGCGCUGUGCAGCGAGGGGGGGGCAGAAGUAUGAAAAGAGUUGGUGGAAGUGAUCAUUGUGGUUUGGCGGAACAUGCGCAACCAUGGCAGCCCCACAUGCGCGAAUAAAGCUUUUUGCCGGAGCAUCAGCGCAGAGCUUCAAGCAAGAGACACACAGGGUCCGUGAAUAUGAGUAACACAAACUGCGAAACUUUAUAGUUUCGACGCUGCAAGGAAACUGCGGCAAAUGGUUCUAAACUGGAGCAGGUCAGCAACCCAGAGGCCUAGCAUUAAAGGACGCGUCGGCAAAGAGCCGCAUUCUGUUCUUACGGUUUACUUCUGCCCACUAUUCAUGCUGUCUCGUGAGUUUUUGAAUAUCUUUGUCAAAAACCAGAUUUUUAUUUUUCCAUAGCAGCUGCGACCACGACUAUCGAGUGGUUUCUAGGAGAUCGUUUCCUGCCUCUUUCUCAAAAGACCGUGGUACUACAGUGGAGUGCCAGCCAAACUAGGAACAAAGUUCUGAGUUUAGAAACGAAGCGUCCUGCCUAACUCGCCACGGGAGCAAUACGCAUUUAAUCUCGGCGAACGUGGGCGUUUUUUUUCCGCACUGCCUUUCAUCAAACUAUUUUGCCAACAUUCCACUUUCUUUACUUUUUUUCGCCUCCCACUUUUUUCCCUUCAG